RNAcentral lists this ribosomal RNA (738 nucleotides) under Bacillus sp. (in: firmicutes). Its description in RNAcentral is "bacterial SSU rRNA". It matches the Rfam family "Bacterial small subunit ribosomal RNA", at positions 40 to 758 of the family's 1533-position model. Lineage: Bacteria; Bacillati; Bacillota; Bacilli; Caryophanales; Bacillaceae. The record is from RNAcentral.
GGGCGGGUGCUAUACAUGCAAGUCGAGCGAAUGGAUUAAGAGCUUGCUCUUAUGAAGUUAGCGGCGGACGGGUGAGUAACACGUGGGUAACCUGCCCAUAAGACUGGGAUAACUCCGGGAAACCGGGGCUAAUACCGGAUAACAUUUUGAACCGCAUGGUUCGAAAUUGAAAGGCGGCUUCGGCUGUCACUUAUGGAUGGACCCGCGUCGCAUUAGCUAGUUGGUGAGGUAACGGCUCACCAAGGCAACGAUGCGUAGCCGACCUGAGAGGGUGAUCGGCCACACUGGGACUGAGACACGGCCCAGACUCCUACGGGAGGCAGCAGUAGGGAAUCUUCCGCAAUGGACGAAAGUCUGACGGAGCAACGCCGCGUGAGUGAUGAAGGCUUUCGGGUCGUAAAACUCUGUUGUUAGGGAAGAACAAGUGCUACUUGAAUAAGCUGGCACCUUGACGGUACCUAACCAGAAAGCCACGGCUAACUACGUGCCAGCAGCCGCGGUAAUACUUAGGUGGCAAGCGUUAUCCGGAAUUAUUGGGCGUAAAGCGCGCGCAGGUGGUUUCUUAAGUCUGAUGUGAAAGCCCACGGCUCAACCGCGGAGGGUCAUUGGAAACUGGGAGACUUGAGUGCAGAAGAGGAAAGUGGAAUUCCAUGUGUAGCGGUGAAAUGCGUAGAGAUAUGGAGGAACACUAGUGUCGAGGGCGACUUUCUGGUCUGCAACUGACACUGAGGCGCGAAA